Molecule: ribosomal RNA, 301 nt
Filed under: uncultured bacterium
Lineage: Bacteria
Description: partial 16S ribosomal RNA
Rfam family: Bacterial small subunit ribosomal RNA
Source: RNAcentral
CAGCCGCCGCGGUAAAACGAAGGGGGCAAGCGUUGUUCGGAUUUACUGGGCGUAAAGCGUACGUAGGCGGAUAUUUAAGUCAGGGGUGAAAUCCCGAGGCUCAACCUCGGAACUGCCUUUGAUACUGGGUAUCUUGAGUCCGAGAGAGGUGAGUGGAACUCCUAGUGUAGAGGUGAAAUUCGUAGAUAUUAGGAAGAACACCAGUGGCGAAGGCGGCUCACUGGCUCGGAACUGACGCUGAGGUACGAAAGCGUGGGGAGCAAACAGGAUUAGAGACCCGCGUAGUCCCUGUCUCUUAUAC